GGGUCUGUAGUUUAGUGGUAAAACGAUGGUCUCCAAAACCAUUGACGGGAGUUCGAUUCUCUCCAGACCCG
RNAcentral lists this transfer RNA (71 nucleotides) under Patescibacteria group bacterium. RNAcentral describes it as "tRNA-Trp". It matches the Rfam family "tRNA". From Rfam's summary of the family: Transfer RNA (tRNA) molecules are approximately 80 nucleotides in length. Their secondary structure includes four short double-helical elements and three loops (D, anti-codon, and T loops). Further hydrogen bonds mediate the characteristic L-shaped molecular structure. tRNAs have two regions of fundamental functional importance: the anti-codon, which is responsible for specific mRNA codon recognition, and the 3' end, to which the tRNAs corresponding amino acid is attached (by aminoacyl-tRNA synthetases). tRNAs cope with the degeneracy of the genetic code in two manners: having more than one tRNA (with a specific anti-codon) for a particular amino acid; and 'wobble' base-pairing, i.e. permitting non-standard base-pairing at the 3rd anti-codon position. RNAcentral also lists the same sequence under 1 other name. The record is from RNAcentral.